AUACGGAGGGUGCAAGCGUUACUCGGAAUCACUGGGCGUAGAGCGCGCGCAGGCGGCUAUUUAAGUUGGAUGUGAAAGCCUACGGCUCAACCGUAGAACUGCAUCCAAAACUAUUUAGCUAGAGUGUGGGAGAGGAAGAUGGAAUUAGUUGUGUAGGGGUAAAAUCCGUAGAGAUAACUAGGAAUACCAAAAGCGAAGGCAAUCUUCUGGAACACUACUGACGCUGAGGCGCGAAAGCGUGGGGAGCAAACGGGAUUAGAAACCCGAGUAGUCC
This 274-nucleotide ribosomal RNA is filed under the name uncultured bacterium. Its description in RNAcentral is "partial 16S ribosomal RNA". It matches the Rfam family "Bacterial small subunit ribosomal RNA", at positions 523 to 796 of the family's 1533-position model. The record is from RNAcentral.